AUUGAACGCUGGCGGCAUGCUUUACACAUGCAAGUCGAACGGUAACAGGCCUUCGGGUGCUGACGAGUGGCGAACGGAUGAGUAAUGCAUCGGAACGUACCCAGAGGUGGGGGAUAACGCAGCGAAAGCUGUGCUAAUACCGCAUGUGAUCUGAGGAUGAAAGCGGGGGACCGAGCAGCAAUGUUUGGCCUCGCGCCUUUGGAGCGGCCGAUGUCGGAUUAGCUAGUUGGUGGGGUAAAGGCCUACCAAGGCGACGAUCCGUAGCUGGUCUGAGAGGACGACCAGCCACACUGGGACUGAGACACGGCCCAGACUCCUACGGGAGGCAGCAGUGGGGAAUUUUGGACAAUGGGCGCAAGCCUGAUCCAGCAAUGCCGCGUGCGGGAAGAAGGCCUUCGGGUUGUAAACCGCUUUUGGCAGGAACGAAACGGUGUCCGCUAAUACCGGGCGCUAAUGACGGUACCUGCAGAAUAAGCACCGGCUAACUACGUG
This 492-nucleotide ribosomal RNA is filed under the name uncultured bacterium. RNAcentral's name for it is "partial 16S ribosomal RNA". It matches the Rfam family "Bacterial small subunit ribosomal RNA", at positions 29 to 507 of the family's 1533-position model. The record is from RNAcentral.